Long non-coding RNA from Mus musculus (house mouse), 304 nucleotides. RefSeq annotates it as predicted gene 16126. The transcript has 3 exons. NCBI's taxonomy places the organism in Eukaryota, Metazoa, Chordata, Mammalia, Rodentia, Muridae. The record is from RefSeq and is a predicted model, not a curated record.
CCUCAAAAAGACCAAGAGCAUUCGUUUUUGUUUUCAUCUUCAAACAAAGUCUCCGCUACCUAGCCCUGGCUGGCUCUGAACUUACCAUGUACACCAGGCUGCCCUCAAAUUUGCAGCAAUCUUCUGGCCUCGGCUUCCCGAAUGCUUGGCAUAUAGAUCCAACUCUCUGAGGAUGACUGUACCCAAAGGGCGGCACAAUGGAGCACCUACCUAUACAAGUGACUCAGCGAAUUGUGGUGAAUGCUUAUACAAGAGCUAACAAGCUGUGGGUCAAGAACUAUCAGAGCCCAUCAUUACAGAUGAG